Molecule: ribosomal RNA, 253 nt
Filed under: uncultured bacterium
Lineage: Bacteria
Description: partial 16S ribosomal RNA
Rfam family: Bacterial small subunit ribosomal RNA
Source: RNAcentral
UACGAAGGGUGCGAGCGUUAUUCGGAAUCACUGGGCGUAAAGGGUGCGUAGACGGUAUGUUAAGUUCGUUGUCAAAGCCUCCGGCCUAACCGGAGUAUUGCGAUGAAAACUGGCAAGCUAGAGGGUGAGAGAGAGAAGUGGAAUUCCCGGAGUAGCGGUAAAAUGCGUGGAUCUCGGGAGGAACACCAAUGGCGAAGGCAGCUUCUUGGCUCAUUCCUGACGUUGAGGCACGAAAGCUGGGGGAGCAAACGGG